GUACACUCCUGCGGGAGGCAGCAGUGGGGAAUAUUGGACAAUGGGCGCAAGCCUGAUCCAGCCAUGCCGCGUGAGUGAUGAAGGCCCUAGGGUUGUAAAGCUCUUUCACCGGUGAAGAUAAUGACGGUAACCGGAGAAGAAGCCCCGGCUAACUUCGUGCCAGCAGCCGCGGUAAUACGAAGGGGGCUAGCGUUGUUCGGAUUUACUGGGCGUAAAGCGCACGUAGGCGGACUAUUAAGUCAGGGGUGAAAUCCCGGGGCUCAACCCCGGAACUGCCUUUGAUACUGGUAGUCUUGAGUUCGAGAGAGGUGAGUGGAAUUCCGAGUGUAGAGGUGAAAUUCGUAGAUAUUCGGAGGAACACCAGUGGCGAAGGCGGCUCACUGGCUCGAUUCUGACGCUGAGGUGCGAAAGCGUGGGGAGCAAACAGGAUUAGAUACCCCUGUAGUCCC
This 449-nucleotide ribosomal RNA is filed under the name uncultured organism. Its description in RNAcentral is "partial 16S ribosomal RNA". It matches the Rfam family "Bacterial small subunit ribosomal RNA", at positions 331 to 797 of the family's 1533-position model. The record is from RNAcentral.